CAAGAAAACAAGAAUUGCUUCCUGUUAAAAGCUGCUUGAGCCAUUCUACACUUCUCUUUUCAAAGGUCUUCAGAAGUGCGCGUAGAUUGCUAAAGAUUGUCUUCACUAUCAACAACACCCUAAAUUGGCAUCGAUUCAGGGGAAGCAUAACAACUAAAAUGGGGAAGUUCUUGCUUCCCAUCACAAGACUGGCUCGUUUAUUUGAGGAGAGACCAAAGCCCGGAAAGGAAGCUUCUCCAAAUAAAACAACCGAGGGUUCAGCUGCUGUGAAAGGAAGGAAAGAAGAAAGGAAGGAGGAGAAAGACACAAGAAAUAUAAACGAAUAAACCUGAACUGGUUGAUAAACAGGGGGAGAAAGAGCAAAACUCAGAUGGAGAAAGGAUGGAAAGAAGAGACAACAGACAGAGAGAGACACAGAGACACAGAGAGAGACACAGAGACACAGAGAGAGGGGAUAUCGAGGGACUUUUGUGUCACUGUGUGUGAAUGUGCUUAUUGAGAGGGAUGAGUCAGUAGAAAGGGAAACAAUGAAAAUGCAGAGUCACAGCACCCCUUUUAUUCAGAUCUUAUAUUCUGUUGCUUUCACCCUCCCCAACUUUCUUUUCUGCUGUUUUAAAAGCUUUACUCACCACAGUUUAAAGUGUGCUUUUUUAAAUUUUAAUUGCAGUAUGUUCAGUCUUGUCUGAUCUUUGUUAAUCAGUGAGAGCAAGCUGCACAGCUUGUUUGGAUCCCUUCCAGGUUAUAUCUUCUUUUUUUGUCACUAAAUUGGAAUUUAUGUCAAGUUUAACCCUGUAAAACCUGAACCAUAAAUUCAUAUUUUUUUAAACCAGUCUUUACUGUACCAUAUAAUAGAUUUACUACAUUAGAUUGUACAUUUAUUUUCACAAUUUGUUUCAUUUAUGCUACUGAGGAUGAGGAUCACACUGCUGAUUUAGAGGUUUCAACAACUCACGUAUCAGAUAUGAUACAUUUGGCGUUACAGGGUCAAUUACAAAUCCUUUGGCAUAAAUAUCCUGGUUCCAUGUGUAACUUUCCAAUCUGCUUUUAAAUCAUUGGUAAAAAUGAGUCGGCUGUUUUCAGAUUUAGAUUAGCCAGAUUAUAUUCUCUAUGUGGGAUUAAACAGGAGUUUUUAUGGAAAGCAAAUACUUAAAACAUUUGAUUAUUAAAGUAAUCAAUACCUUAUAUGAUGCAGUUUAUCAUUACUUUUGUUCAACACAACCCAGUUAUUCAUUUUUUGUAGAUGGAAAGGGAAAGUGUUUGAGGCAGCAAUGCACUCAGUGAAAGGGACAAUAACAGUGGGUGCUUUGUUCAUGGAGGUAACAUCUACUGUCACCAGUAUCACG
Molecule: long non-coding RNA, 1343 nt
Organism: Oreochromis niloticus (Nile tilapia)
Lineage: Eukaryota; Metazoa; Chordata; Actinopteri; Cichliformes; Cichlidae
Exons: 3
Source: RefSeq, a predicted model, not a curated record